RNAcentral lists this long non-coding RNA (1580 nucleotides) under Ananas comosus (pineapple). RNAcentral describes it as "long non-coding RNA (ACOM_LNC025353)". Lineage: Eukaryota; Viridiplantae; Streptophyta; Magnoliopsida; Poales; Bromeliaceae. The record is from RNAcentral.
AAUGCCUUUUUGGCGAUGGAUUUCACUCCAAAGGAUUUUUGUGGCUCUUUUUAUAUCCUCUCUCUCUCUCUCUCUCUCUCUCUCUCUCUCAUAUUUUCUGUUUCUUUUCUUUUCUUCAUGUGUUGAGGUUUUUUGUUAUAAUGUUACUGUGCUCUUAUAAAGUUUUAAGUUAAUCAUGUGGGUGCGCAUAAUUCCUGAGAAACCAGACAUUACGGGUGCAUAUUUAUCACAUACUGUUAAGUGCUCUUUCUCUGUCUCAUCUGAUCAUUAUGAUUUAGCAAUUGAUUUCUUUACAAUUCAUUGAUGAAUAUUCCUAUUGAUUUUCUUUGUUAUCAUAAUCUUUAGUCCGACCAGCCAUGAUUAUCAUGUGGUAUAGUUGGUCACAAUAAAAAUACUUGUAUUUGGUUCACAAGACUAUCGAACCCACAAUGAAAUUAUUCAGCUUGGACUUCGAAAAAAACUUAGCACAAACUUAGAAAAUGAUUUUGUACAUUCCCUGGAUCACAACAGGUAAUUAACAAUUGAUGUUUUAUCUUACUCAUGCUCUUAUCUUUUGCUCCUUGCAUAUGGAUCUAUUAUGGCAACCAAUAAUUAGGUCUAUUGCCCCUUUGACACCACCGAGAGUUUAUAGCUAGAUAUUGGUGGGCCCUCUGAUUCUCACCAACAUCUUUCAUAUGUAGUUUCUUUGCUUUGCUUGGUUUGUUCCAUAUAUCAUUUCUUAUUGUAACUUUUUUUAACAUGUCAUGUGCUUGCAUUGCUAAGUGGUGCUCACAUGAGACAAAAGUUUUUCGAGGGGAUAAGAGCCUUCUAAGAUGAAGGAGAGAGAACUUAUUUUAAGCCCAUUAAGAUCUUUGGAAACUAUAGAUUCUGAUCUUAGAGAUGUGUGGUCUAGUUCUCCUAGGCAACUAGAGGGACAAAAUGCAACUUGCAGAACACUUUAUGUUGGACUAAACCUCCUGUUAUUUGACUAAGGGAUAGCUAUGGUUUUGAGAGUCUGACACAGUGGACAUUAGCUUUUAAAUCCAAAUAAGACUGAAGUGGAAGGAGGAGAGACAAGAAGAGGGAAUAUGAGGCCUGUUGGAGUGGUGGGUUUGGUGGUUAUGGUGGUAGUGGUAGUCCUUUCUCUGCUUCAUCAACAAACCACAGCUGGUAAAAAAACAAACUCAUCAUCUUUUAGAUGUAAACUUAGUCAAUUUUCUGGUUUAAGAACUUGAAAGAUGUUGUUGUUAUUUUUCAAUAAGGCGUGAUCAGGUCGCGCGACGACCGCGGACAAAUGAGGGAAUGGGGCAACACGCAGAGAGAGAUGGUGCCUUGGUGGUUGAGCAUGGAUUACGCCCGAGUCCGACGGCGAACACCGAUACACAAUAGGUUUGAUCCCUGACUCAACCAAGUUAGUACUUCCCCCCUCAAUGUUUUUGCCCUCGGAAAGUUUGCGAGACAAGGAAUGAUUACUGGUUUUUUGGGAUUGUACUAUUAGUGGGUAUAGUAAUAUAUGUUUUACCUAAUGUUAAUUUUUCUUUUCUUUUCUUUUCUUUUCUUUGUAAGAACGGAUAGUAAUUAGUGCAACUUUCAUAUUUUGC